This 253-nucleotide ribosomal RNA is filed under the name uncultured bacterium. Its description in RNAcentral is "partial 16S ribosomal RNA". It matches the Rfam family "Bacterial small subunit ribosomal RNA", at positions 524 to 776 of the family's 1533-position model. The record is from RNAcentral.
UACGGAGGGUGCAAGCGUUAUCCGGAUUCACUGGGGUUAAAGGGAGCGUAGGUGGGUUGGUAAGUCAGUGGUGAAAUCCCCGAGCUUAACUUGGGAACUGCCAUUGAUACUAUCAGUCUUGAAUACUGUGGAGGUUAGCGGAAUAUGUCAUGUAGCGGUGAAAUGCUUAGAUAUGACAUAGAACACCAAUUGCGAAGGCAGCUGGCUACACAAAUAUUGACACUGAGGCUCGAAAGCGUGGGUAGCGAACAGG